UUAAAACACUGGUUCCUGUACGAUCAACGAAGUUAAGCAACAUCAAGUUUGGUGAGUAUUUAGAUGGGUGACCGCUUGGGAAUACCAGGUGCUGUAAG
This is a non-coding RNA of Acanthosepion pharaonis, 98 nucleotides long. Lineage: Eukaryota; Metazoa; Mollusca; Cephalopoda; Sepiida; Sepiidae. The record is from the annotation of a GenBank genome assembly.